CAUAAACAUGCACAGACUCGUACACGACCCUGCCAAACGCCAUUCACCCGUUCUCAUGAGUUAUUGAGUAACGUGAAAAGUCACAGCUUACACUGCAUUUGCAUGCACUCUGAGUUUAACUACAGUUACUCGCGCCGUCCUGAGGUGGAGGCGAGGUGGGACAUUAUUCCCUAGAGUCAAGAGUUCUCUUAGCAACCAGCCAGACAUGCAAUUCACUGCACAAUCACAUCAGCACUUAAGACACAGCGGCACUCCUACACACGUCUGAGGCAAUAACACAUGGAUAACCACAAUGUCCUAGUUUCAUUUAGACAAUCAAGCAUUUCCCACGAACUGAACUUCAGAAGUAAAACAUGACAAGCAUACAACAUGAAGAGGAACGUCAUCGCCAGCUGUCAGAAUGCCAAACCACUCUUGGGUUUAAUGAGCUGGAAGUGGAUCGAUGAGCUCCCUGCGUCGAUCUCUGUGCUCCUGCCUGCACAUCACCAGCUCUGGGUUGACCUACCAUGUCGGGGCAAGCUGGGACAGACUGGAACCCUGCCAACACUGUUACAAUAACCUUGGAUACAAUUAUACGUGCAUGACACUGACUUGUGAUAAACUUGGACAGGAGCAUGCUGGGAUUAUGGACAAAGAAAGAACCUGCAGAUUUAAAAAUGGCAGGUGAUGAGAGUCGUUAAGAAAUCCUGUUUACAUUAGAAUGUGUAGUCGGUGGAGCUCAGACUUUCUCUUUUCAUUCAGUAAGUUACAUACUUUACUCUUUGUGGGGACACACAGGUGCAAUACUAUUAUACAUGGAUGUAGUCAGACUAUGCAGAUCUUUGGCCUUGUGGACUUCAUGAGUGAAGAAAAUUAAAAUGGAUGCCAGUGCUCUGAUGUCAGAGCUCCAGGAUUAAGAUCUUUACAACUUCGGGCUCACAAAAGCCUGGUGCCUCUCCUCUCGGAAUACAAAUGCCUGGUGCUGAUUUCACCUCCUCAUGCACAUACACACACACUGGAGCACAACAAAAACUUUGAUGCCUAACAUCUGUGAGUCACACUUUGAUAAAAGAAGCCCCAUCAAGCCCUUCAUCUUCCCACAUCACCAUGGCAGCAGUCAUAUCUGAAGACACCAACCUCCCGCUGACCUUCAUACGGUUGUCAAGGUUACGAUCGGAUUCACAGUUCAGGUGGAGACAGAGACAACAAUUCUUUAUCCACAUUUGAAAAGAUGAGUGCUACUGCAAAGUGGUUGUAUGCCUCCACUGAUCAAUGCAGUUUCAGUCUGAACAAGUUCUUUUUCCAGACUCAUGCAAAUGACAUGUUGACUUGAAAUUAAUUUAAUGUUCCACAGACCAAAAUCUAACCGUGACCUUUAAACAAAUAUUCCAAAAUCACACUCACGGGACAAUACAUACCUAUGACUAUCCCAUAACCUGCUACUAUUAACGCUGGAAAUAACAAGUGAUGUCUGACAUUGUUGGGUGCACUGUGCUUGAGCUCAGCGUUAACUGUGAUUUUUCAUGGCUAAUGCCUGUGCUGAGCUAUUUGCAUGAUGCGAUGUGAUUGGCUGAUGCUCAAGCGCUAGACUUCUGCCACACGCAUCGCGAGCAGGGGCGAAGCGAGGGACCCCACAACUCACACCGCUCCGAUCAAAUCGAAUAAGAAGCGCUGCAUUUGAUGCCUCCAUUGCAAAAAUAACUGAAACAGUAGAUAAAACAAAACAAGACCAAAGGUUAUUAGCAGGAGAUGGACAAACUGGCAGGCUGACUGUGUGUGUUUAUGUGUUCUAAUUCAAAAAACAACAGUUAGUACAGAGUAAAAGAAUGUGGUGUACGUGUCAAUCUGUGUAUGUCAGUAUAUUCUAGUAUUUAUUGAGAUGAACUGACAUAAUAAACACCAGCUGAAGAAUUUA
This is a long non-coding RNA of Solea senegalensis (Senegalese sole), 1894 nucleotides long. RefSeq lists it as uncharacterized. NCBI's taxonomy places the organism in Eukaryota, Metazoa, Chordata, Actinopteri, Pleuronectiformes, Soleidae. The record is from RefSeq and is a predicted model, not a curated record. The transcript has 2 exons.